GGGGCUAAAAGGCUUGCAUAGAGCCACUUUGGGGUAGUGGAGGUCGUGGGUUCGAAUCCCGCCGCUCCG
Molecule: transfer RNA, 69 nt
Filed under: Calothrix anomala FACHB-343
Lineage: Bacteria; Bacillati; Cyanobacteriota; Cyanophyceae; Nostocales; Calotrichaceae
Also listed under: 1 other name
Description: tRNA-Ser
Source: RNAcentral